AUGAAGGCAACCUUUGUAGCCAUCUGCGUCCUCCUUGCAAUUGCGCACACCAUGGGUGCAGGUGGCGGAGGAGGCGUGGUUGAAUAUGAAGAGCACACGGGAGGCGGAUCAAGCGGACAUCACCAUGGGCCACUGACGGAAUAUGAGGACUCGCAACCAGGCGAGUCAGGACAAGCGGGACCUCCCUCUCGUCCAGGCCGCUAUCCUCUGCCAGGCGAGUCAG
This is an RNA transcript of Ixodes scapularis (black-legged tick), 223 nucleotides long. RefSeq lists it as uncharacterized. NCBI's taxonomy places the organism in Eukaryota, Metazoa, Arthropoda, Arachnida, Ixodida, Ixodidae. The record is from RefSeq and is a predicted model, not a curated record. The transcript has 7 exons.